AUUGAACGCUGGCGGAAUGCUUUACACAUGCAAGUCGAACGGCAGCACGGACUUCGGUCUGGUGGCGAGUGGCGAACGGGUGAGUAAUGUAUCGGAACGUGCCCAGUCGUGGGGGAUAACGUAGUGAAAAUUACGCUAAUACCGCAUACGAUCUAUGGAUGAAAGCGGGGGAUCGCGAGACCUCGCGCGAUUGGAGCGGCCGAUAUCAGAUUAGGUAGUUGGUGGGGUAAAGGCCCACCAAGCCAACGAUCUGUAGCUGGUCUGAGAGGACGACCAGCCACACUGGAACUGAGACACGGUCCAGAAUCCUACGGGAGGCAGCAGCGGGGAAUUUUGGACAAUGGGCGAAAGCCUGAUCCAGCCAUGCCGCGUGCAGGAUGAAGGCCCUCGGGUUGUAAACUGCUUUUGUACAGAACGAAAAGGUUUCUACUAAUACUAGGAGCUCAUGACGGUACUGUAAGAAUAAGCACCGGCUAACUACGUGCCAGCCGCCGCGGUAA
Molecule: ribosomal RNA, 500 nt
Filed under: uncultured bacterium
Lineage: Bacteria
Description: partial 16S ribosomal RNA
Rfam family: Bacterial small subunit ribosomal RNA
Source: RNAcentral